GACGAACGCUGGCGGCGUGCUUAACACAUGCAAGUCGAACGGAAAGGCCUGCUUUCCCUUGUGGAUUGCGGGUACUCGAGUGGCGAACGGGUGAGUAACACGUGAGUGAUCUGCCCCCAACUUGGGUAUAAGCCUGGGAAACUGGGUCUAAUUCCCGAUAGGACUGCAGGGUGGUGCCUGUGGUGGAAAACGAUCUUCUAGUGGUUGGGGAUGAGCUCGCGGCCUAUCAGCUUGUUGGUGGGGUAAUGGCCUACCAAGGCGGCGACGGGUAGCCGGCCUGGGAGGGUGGACGGCGACAUUGAGACUGAGAUACGGCCCAGACUCCUACGGGAGGCAGCAGUGGGGAAUAUUGCACAAUGGGCGGAAGCCUGAUGCAGCGACGCCGCGUGGGGGAUGACGGCCUUCGGGUUGUAAACUCCUUUCGACCGCGAGGAAGCCACCUGGUUGGAAGGGUGGUGACGGUAGUGGUAGAAGAAGCACCGGCUAACUACGUG
RNAcentral lists this ribosomal RNA (494 nucleotides) under uncultured bacterium. Its description in RNAcentral is "partial 16S ribosomal RNA". It matches the Rfam family "Bacterial small subunit ribosomal RNA", at positions 28 to 507 of the family's 1533-position model. The record is from RNAcentral.